GAUGAACGCUGGCGGCGUGCCUAACACAUGCAAGUCGAACGGAGAUUACGGACGGAAGUUUUCGGAUGGAAGACUGUAAUUCUUAGUGGCGGACGGGUGAGUAACGCGUGGGCAACCUGCCCUAUACAGGGGGAUAGCAGCUGGAAACGGCUGGUAAGACCGCAUAAGUCGGCGAGACCGCAUGGUUUUGCCGGGAAAUGAGCAAUCAGGUAUAGGAUGGGCCCGCGUCCGAUUAGCCAGUUGGCAGGGUAAAAGCCUACCAAAGCAACGAUCGGUAGCCGGACUGAGAGGUCGGACGGCCACAUUGGGACUGAGACACGGCACAAAAUCCUACGGGAGGCAGCAGUGGGGGAUAUUGCAAAAUGGAGGGAACUCUGAUGCAGCGACGACGCGUGAGUGAAGAAGUAUUUCGGUAUGUAAAGCUCUAUCAGCAGGGAAGAUGAUGACGGUACCUGACUAAGAAGCCCCGGCUAACUACGUG
Molecule: ribosomal RNA, 481 nt
Filed under: uncultured bacterium
Lineage: Bacteria
Description: partial 16S ribosomal RNA
Rfam family: Bacterial small subunit ribosomal RNA
Source: RNAcentral